This 274-nucleotide ribosomal RNA is filed under the name uncultured bacterium. RNAcentral describes it as "partial 16S ribosomal RNA". It matches the Rfam family "Bacterial small subunit ribosomal RNA", at positions 333 to 622 of the family's 1533-position model. The record is from RNAcentral.
UCUUGCCUACGGGGCGCAGCAGUGGGGAAUAUUGCGCAAUGGGGGCAACCCUGACGCAGCAACGCCGCGUGAUUGAAGAAGGCCUUCGGGUUGUAAAGAUCUUUAAACAGGGACGAAGAAAUGACGGUACCUGAAGAAUAAGCUCCGGCUAACUACGUGCCAGCAGCCGCGGUAAUACGUAGGGAGCAAGCGUUAUCCGGAUUUACUGGGUGUAAAGGGCGUGUAGGCGGUCCUUUAAGUCAGAAGUGCAAUCUGGGGGCUUAACCCCCAACCU